RNAcentral lists this ribosomal RNA (453 nucleotides) under uncultured soil bacterium. RNAcentral's name for it is "bacterial SSU rRNA". It matches the Rfam family "Bacterial small subunit ribosomal RNA", at positions 26 to 518 of the family's 1533-position model. The record is from RNAcentral.
AGAACGAACGCUGGCGGCAGGCCUAACGCAUGCAAGUCGAACGUGAAGCCACCUUCGGGUGGUGGAAAGUGGCAGACGGGUGAGUAACGCGUGGGAAUCUACCCAAUGGUACGGAAUAACUCAGGGAAACUUGAGCUAAUACCGUAUGUGCCCGAAAGGGGAAAGAUUUAUCGCCAUUGGAUGAGCCCGCGUCGGAUUAGCUAGUUGGUGGGGUAACGGCCCACCAAGGCAACGAUCCGUAGCUGGUCUGAGAGGAUGAUCAGCCACACUGGGACUGAGACACGGCCCAGACUCCUACGGGAGGCAGCAGUGGGGAAUAUUGGACAAUGGGCGCAAGCCUGAUCCAGCCAUGCCGCGUGAGUGAUGAAGGCCCUAGGUUGUAAAGCUCUUUCGACGGGGACGAUAAUGACGGUACCCGUAGAAGAAGCCCGGCUAACUCGUGCCAGCAGCCGC